RNAcentral lists this non-coding RNA (47 nucleotides) under Trichobilharzia regenti. The record is from RNAcentral. Lineage: Eukaryota; Metazoa; Platyhelminthes; Trematoda; Strigeidida; Schistosomatidae.
CUCCAGCUAUGACGAGUCCCAAAUAGGACGAAAUGCGCAUCCUGGAU